Molecule: ribosomal RNA, 759 nt
Filed under: Bacillus sp. 'Bacillus M5b'
Lineage: Bacteria; Bacillati; Bacillota; Bacilli; Caryophanales; Bacillaceae
Description: bacterial SSU rRNA
Rfam family: Bacterial small subunit ribosomal RNA
Source: RNAcentral
UACAUGCAAGUCGAGCGGACAGAUGGGAGCUUGCUCCCUGAUGUUAGCGGCGGACGGGUGAGUAACACGUGGGUAACCUGCCUGUAAGACUGGGAUAACUCCGGGAAACCGGGGCUAAUACCGGAUGGUUGUUUGAACCGCAUGGUUCAGACAUAAAAGGUGGCUUCGGCUACCACUUACAGAUGGACCCGCGGCGCAUUAGCUAGUUGGUGAGGUAACGGCUCACCAAGGCAACGAUGCGUAGCCGACCUGAGAGGGUGAUCGGCCACACUGGGACUGAGACACGGCCCAGACUCCUACGGGAGGCAGCAGUAGGGAAUCUUCCGCAAUGGACGAAAGUCUGACGGAGCAACGCCGCGUGAGUGAUGAAGGUUUUCGGAUCGUAAAGCUCUGUUGUUAGGGAAGAACAAGUGCCGUUCAAAUAGGGCGGCACCUUGACGGUACCUAACCAGAAAGCCACGGCUAACUACGUGCCAGCAGCCGCGGUAAUACGUAGGUGGCAAGCGUUGUCCGGAAUUAUUGGGCGUAAAGGGCUCGCAGGCGGUUUCUUAAGUCUGAUGUGAAAGCCCCCGGCUCAACCGGGGAGGGUCAUUGGAAACUGGGGAACUUGAGUGCAGAAGAGGAGAGUGGAAUUCCACGUGUAGCGGUGAAAUGCGUAGAGAUGUGGAGGAACACCAGUGGCGAAGGCGACUCUCUGGUCUGUAACUGACGCUGAGGAGCGAAAGCGUGGGGAGCGAACAGGAUAAAAAAACCCCUGGU